Molecule: unclassified non-coding RNA, 2623 nt
Filed under: Hevea brasiliensis (rubber tree)
Lineage: Eukaryota; Viridiplantae; Streptophyta; Magnoliopsida; Malpighiales; Euphorbiaceae
Source: RNAcentral
GCUCGCUGCCUGGCGUCUAGUAUAUAAUUUGAAAGUUGGAACGAGCAAACCCUGUUAUUGUUCUCGCGCUAGCCGAGAGCAAAAGCAGCUGCACAAAUACCAAACACCGAUACCAACCGUUACAGUUUCAGACGGAGAGAGAGAAGGGGGGUAGCAAAUUAUGACCGCGCCUCCUCCGAUUCUCAAAAAGCCAAAAAUAGAACAAAACAACGACGGCGACGGCGACCACCAGCUAGUAGCAAAACCGAAAUCGAUGACCGAAGAAGAGAACGAAGGAGGAGGAGAAGAAGAAGAAGGGGAGGAAGGUACCAGUAUAGAAGAGCAAGAGGAAGCUUUGGUUGCUCUGGUCGACCACCGCACCCGUGAAGUUGAACAUCUUAAGAGACGUAUCGCCUAUUAUAAUUCUCAGCUCCAGGGAGCAGAGAAGAGAUUGCAUGAAACAGAAGCUCGAUUGGCUCGCUUACGAGGGCAAAGCAAUGCAAUAUCAUCUAAAGCUUCUCUGGGAAAUGGGACUAAAAGUGCAAAGAUGGAGUGUAGAUCAACCAGCCCUAUCCAUGCCAUUCAAAGUGCUUCUAGGAGCCAACCUCAAUCCAGAAAUGAAGGCCUGUUUCCUGCUGCAAAUCCAAGUACUUCCCAAUCUAUAAAAUUGGCAGGAUCCAGUGCAAAAGUGUUUGUUCGUUCUGGUUCUCAAUCACUUCCUUCCACCCCCACUGAUACUCUUCCAAAAUUAAAAGCAGAAAAAUCUUACAUGAGUUCUCUGGAUGAAGAAGUUGUUGAAAUUCAGGAUAGGGGAACAAAAAGGAAGCUUGAACAGAAAGAACACAAGGAGUUGAUUCCAUUGAUACGCAGUGGCUCUUCUCCAUGCACAAUCCACUGCCAUACAAGCAAUCUCAUCUCUAGUCAGCAUAAGAGAAAGUUGAGAAGUCUUGUUUUCUGUCCAGUAAAUGAUCAGCUUUUUGUGACCAGGUGAUUUACUAUUUGACCAGUGUAAUCAGUGAGAGAGAAACAGAUAAUGUAAAUUAUAUGGAAGAAGAUGCUUAGGCACUUGUAGUUUAUGGAGAAAUUAAGCACAGUGCUUUGGAUGGAGUGGUCAACUUAUGGCAAGUUCAAUCUCGAGGAUCAGGUGCCUCUCUUCUUAGUUCUACUGAUUGUAUGUCUCCAAAGCAUAGGCGGUGGCCAGAAGAUAUAGCUUGGCACCCACUGGGGAACAGCAUAUUUUGUACUUACAGUGCUGAUGGAGGGGAUUCUCAGAUAUUAAUCCUUAAUUUGAAUAAAACACAAGCAGUAUGGAUCUCUGUUAAAGUUUACUUUCUGAAUAAAUAUGCUAGUUCCAUUUAUAGUUAUCUGCCUAAAUUAUUGCACUUCUUGUAUUGUGGUGGAGUUGGCAUAUACUGAAAACAUGCAGUUACAAGUAUUUGAGCAUCCCACAUCCUUCUUAAACUUAAAUGUUCAUUUACAUAAAAUGGACUCUUUCUAUGAAUUUGCUUUGGCAGAGGGCCCGUGUAACUUACUUAGAUGAUAAGCCUCAUGUCAAGGGCAUCAUUAACAGCAUAAUAUUCAUGCCCUGGAAAAGUGCCUGUUUUGCCACUGGUGGCAGUGAUCAUGCUGUUAUACUUUGGAAUGAGAAAGAUACUGAGAAUUUAUGGAAGCCAAAGCAAUUGCACAGGAAUCUGCAUUCUUCAGCUGUCAUGGGAGUUGCUGGGUUGCAGCAAAAGCAUAUUGUUCUGUCUGCUGGUGCAGACAAGAGAAUUAUAGGGUUUAAUGUUCAAGUAGGGAGAGCAGACUUCAAGCAUCAACUAGAUAAUAAAUGUAUGAGUGUUCUGCCUAAUCCAUGCGAUUUCAAUCUAUUCAUGGUUCAGACAGGGACUCCUGAGAAGCAGCUGAGAUUGUUUGAUAUUAGACUUAGGCAGACAGAGCUUCACUCUUUUGGGUUUAAACAAGAAAGCAGUGACUCUCAGUCAGCUUUGAUCAAUCAGGCUUGGUCUCCUGAUGGUUUGUACCUGACAUCUGGUUCAGUAGAUCCUAUGAUCCACAUCUUUGAUAUAAGGUACAAUUCUCACAAGCCAUCCCAAUCUGUGAGAGCUCAUCAGAAACGGGUUUUUAAAGCAGUCUGGCAUUACUCUCACCCACUUCUGAUAUCUAUAUCUUCUGAUCUGCACAUCGGGUUGCACAAGAUUGCAUAAUACUUCUGUCUGCAUUUUGGGACCCUAGGGCAAUUUCUUGUAUUGCUCAUUUUGCACUUUUGAGUCUCCUUGUUUUGAUUUGUGAGGUGAAAGGUCUAAAAGAUUAUUGGUUUAAGAAUGGAUUAUCAGAAAAAAAUGAUUGGGUUGACACCACAAAUUUUGCGGAUGUAUGAAAAAGAAACAGAAUUUUUGGAGAACUUGUUGCAAAAAAGAUGGAUGUUAGCUGUGGUCCUUGAUUUAUGUUAUAUGGGUUGCCAUUUUUGAUCUGAAAAAACACAGAACACCAGCAGUUGAAACAUGGUUUAUUAUAGCAUCCAAUGUUUUGUAUUUGUUGUUUUGGAGAAAAUAUAAUCUCGAGUUGAUUCAAUGUGUUCUGCGCGUGGUGGCAUUCUAAUUGAUAUUGUAUUAUUUAUUUUAAUUCAAUGAAGCUUGUUAUUCUC